AUUGAACGCUGGCGGAAUGCUUUACACAUGCAAGUCGAACGGCAGCAUAGGUGCUUGCACCUGAUGGCGAGUGGCGAACGGGUGAGUAAUACAUCGGAACGUGCCCAGUCGUGGGGGAUAACGUAGUGAAAAUUACGCUAAUACCGCAUACGAUCUAUGGAUGAAAGCGGGGGAUCGCAAGACCUCGCGCGAUUGGAGCGGCCGAUAUCAGAUUAGGUAGUUGGUGGGGUAAAGGCCCACCAAGCCAACGAUCUGUAGCUGGUCUGAGAGGACGACCAGCCACACUGGAACUGAGACACGGUCCAGACUCCUACGGGAGGCAGCAGUGGGGAAUUUUGGACAAUGGACGCAAGUCUGAUCCAGCCAUUCCGCGUGCAGGACGAAGGCCUUCGGGUUGUAAACUGCUUUUGUACAGAACGAAAAGGUCUCUACUAAUACUAGGGGCUCAUGACGGUACUGUAAGAAUAAGCACCGGCUAACUACGUG
This 486-nucleotide ribosomal RNA is filed under the name uncultured bacterium. Its description in RNAcentral is "bacterial SSU rRNA". It matches the Rfam family "Bacterial small subunit ribosomal RNA", at positions 30 to 507 of the family's 1533-position model. The record is from RNAcentral.